GAAUGAAUAGAACAAUAAAAGAGACCCUUACUAAAUUGACCUUAGAGACUGGUUUAAAAGAUUGGAGACGCCUCCUAUCCUUAACUCUGUUAAAGGCCCAAAAUACACCUAACCGUUUUGGGCUCACUCCAUAUGAAAUCCUCUACGGAGGACCUCCCCCUUUGUCAACCUUGCUUAACUCCUUCUCCCCCUCCGAUCCUAAAACUGACCUACAGGCUCGGCUAAAAGGACUCCAAGCAGUACAGGCCCAAAUCUGGGCCCCCUUGGCAGAACUGUACCAACCAGGACAUCCACAGACCAGUCACCCCUUCCAGCCAUAAAGGUUGACGGAAUCUCCACUUAGAUCCACGCAUCCCACGCCAAGGCUGCUCCAGAGACGUCCGGACCAACACCACUUGAGACAUGGAAACUCCGACGCUCUGCGGACCCGCUCAAGAUAAGACUCUCUCGUAUCUAACUCCUUACUUAUUGUUUGCCCUUCUUCCCUGCGCCGUCUCUAGUGUAGUUUUUGACGCUAACCCCCACCGGCCAUUUAGCCUGACCUGACAGAUAAUUAAUUUUAAUAAUCAAGAGGUCUUAAAUAAGACCUCCGAGAAUGCUCCUAUAAAGACUUGGUUUCCAGACCUCUAUUUCAACCUAAAAAAAAAAUAUAGCAGAAAAGGUAAAAGACACAGGCCCCCGGUUUACUGGUCCCACAGGAGUCCUAUUAGGAACUCCUCAAGAUAGACAAGAAUGAAAAGGACAGGCUAGAAAGGUGUCCAUCAGCCGGAACGGGUUUUAUGCCUGUCCCGGAUUCAGGACAGGACAAAUGAAAAAAACUUGUAGAGAUCUGACUCACUUGUAUUGCAAAAGCUGGUCCUGUGUGACUACUAAUAAUAGAGAGUAGAAAUAGGCCACAAAACCUUAGUAUAUAACCAUGUCCUUUGUCCAGCCCUGUACCACAACCCGAUAUUCGGAAAAUUGCAACCUGGUUCGCAUCAAGUUUGAAGAUGCGGCAAAA
This is a non-coding RNA of Macaca mulatta (Rhesus monkey), 1000 nucleotides long. NCBI's taxonomy places the organism in Eukaryota, Metazoa, Chordata, Mammalia, Primates, Cercopithecidae. The record is from RefSeq and is a predicted model, not a curated record.